AGUGGGUGUUCCAAUCAUAUGACAGGUAAGAAGACGAUUUUUAAACAACUUGAUGAGACUCAAAAAAGGAAGGUCAAAUUGGGAGAUGAUCAAGAAAUACAAGUUAAAGGGAAAGGAACAGUAGCCAUUAAAACCAGCCAAGGUAAAACAAAGCUUUUACAUGAUGUUCAAUUUGUCCCUAACUUGGCACACAAUUUGUUGAGUGUUGGACAGUUAAUGGCUAAUGGAUACUCAAUUACGUUUGAUAGUGAAGAAUGU
This 258-nucleotide unclassified non-coding RNA is filed under the name Hevea brasiliensis (rubber tree). Lineage: Eukaryota; Viridiplantae; Streptophyta; Magnoliopsida; Malpighiales; Euphorbiaceae. The record is from RNAcentral.